UGCCCGCCACCACGUCCAGCUAUUUUUUGUAUUCUUAGUAGAGAUGGUGUUUCACUAUGUUGGUCAGGCUGGUCUCAAACUCCUGACCUCAGGUGACCCGCCCACCUUGGCCUCCCAAAGUGCUGGGAUUACAGGCGUAAGCCACUGUGCCCGGGCCCUUCUGUAUUUUUUUAAAGCAAGUUUGAUGCAGGGUUUUCUGCUACUUGCAGCAUCCUGACUGACCCCUCAAGCUUUCAAACUCUUCGCAGUCUUGUGCCAUUCUCUCCUCCUAACUGAAAUAAGUGUCUUCUCCCGCUCCUUCCCGUUACAGGGCGCACAUCCCAGGGAUUCCCAACUCUCUCUUCCCUAUCUCCAUGCACCGUGCACCGCUCUGCCAGGCUAUUUUGGCCCCGCCUCUGUCUCCUGGUGCUAUAUAGAUUCAAACAGAUCGCAAAAGAAAGGCUGCUGUGUGUCGUUGCUUCCCCGUACUCAAGGAGAAAAUGCCUUCUGAAGACUUAAAAACUUCUUUUCAGUAAGAUGAUCCAUACAUCCUCAGUCUGUAAAUUGCCUGGUAACCUUCUGCUGUCAAAGGUCAUUUCAGCUUCGCAAAAACUGCUGACAAUAUCCACUUUUGACAAGUUGUUUCUUAUGGGACUUCCCAGAAAAAUAUUACAAAUAAGUCUUCUUUUAAAAUGAAAUAAUAGGCCAGGCGCGGUGGCUCACGCCUGUAAUCCCAGCACUUUGGGAGGCCGAGGUGGGCGGAUCAUGAGGUGCCCCAGACAGGCUCCUGUGGGAACCCAUCACCUUCUUGCAUUUCACUCCCUCUAGCCAGAUGGGCUCCAAUCGAACAUCUUUGUUGCCUGCUUGAGGCACCAAGAACAUCAAGAACACUCCAAAAGGAAGACAACGCUACCAAGUCCAGGGCCAAGAGAGUGAGACAAGGCAGACAGUGCUGCGAUCAUGUAAGCAGGACCCAGAGCUCUGGGGUCCCUGUGGGGAUGAUGGGGAUGGAGGCAGGAGAGGCAGGCAGAGACCGUGAAACCUACCACCCAGGCCCAACCAGGUACCACAAGAGAGGGCCAGUCCAGCAGGUUGGGGAAUGCACAGGCCUAGGGCUUCAGGGAACUAUCCCGGGUGCAGAUACAGGCGGCAGACACCUGGCAGCGCCCAAGGAAUAAAUCGCCCUUCCAGGUGUGGCCUCUCACCUCAGCUGGCUAAGGGCAUCUCCCUGGUAUCUCCCGAGAGUGUCUGCCUCCCCGUCAGCCCUGGGGGAGUUAUCGGCUCCCACACACCACCAGUUUGUGGCAACCUCAGGACAAAGAUUCAGAAAGUCCACCAUGUUUUUUUGUUUUUUGUUUUUUGUUUUUUGAGACGGAGCCUGGCUCUGUCCCCCAGACAGUUAGUGCAGUGUUGUGAUCUCCGCUCACUGCAAGCUCCGCCUCCCGAGUUCACGCCAUUCUCCUGCCUCAGCCUCCCGAGUAGCUGGGACUACAGGCGCCCGCCACCACGCCCUCCUAAUUUUUUUGUAUGUUUAGUAGAGACGGGGUUUCACCACGUUGGCCAGGAUGGUCUUGAACUCCUGACCUCGUGAUCCGCCCACCUCGGCCUCCCAAAGUGCUGGGAUUACAGGCGUGAGCAACCGCGCCCAGCCCCCACCAUGUUUUUAAAUGACACCAACUUUCGACUCAAUCCUAUCUUGGACUAAAGGCCAAAGUAAAGGCACCUGCAGAAAAUGUUGCUACAGAGAGGCAGAGGGAGACGGGCUAUCUCCCAAACGGAGGUGGAAAGGCUGCUUAACAGCUGGCUAGCCUCUAAUCCUUACAUUAAUAAGGGCCACUGCCAAACUAAAUGUUUAGGACGUUGUUACAAGCAUAAAGAAGUUAUAAGAUCAUAAAAAUGUUAGAAGAAAACAUAGGAUUUCCCCCCAGUCUUCCAGGAAUCUUCCAAGCCUUAAAGCUAACAUAAGAAAAAAAACCAAACAGCAAACUCGAGGAAAAUGGUUACAAGUCAUCCAGAAGGGUUAAUUUACAUCAUACAUAAAGUGUACCUAUAAAUACAUAAGAAAAUAAUGCUUCUCACAGCAUAUACACACACAUAAAGGCAAAGGAAAUGAAGAGACUGUUCAAAGAACAGGAAAUACAUCAAACUAGAAAAUAUGUAAAGAUUUGAUAAUCCCCUGGGUCAGGGAGGGUGUAGGGAACAGAACCACACAUAUUAUUUCACCCUCCCACUUCUAAAAAUUUCUUACACGUGUGCAAAUGUCUGUGCAUGCCAAGAUUUCGUGAUAUAUUGUGAAUAUAACAGCAAAGACUGGAGACAAACUUAAUGCUUCCUCGGUAAGUGAUUAGUUAAAUAAAUGGCAGUCCAGUCUGAUAUUACCUACUAUAGUCAAUUUUUAAAAAUAGAUAUGCAUGAAGAUAUCCACUGUUGUUGCAUAUACUAGACAAAAGCCACCACUGGGAUGACCUCAUGGUAGUCAGUUCAGUAUUUUAUUAUUUUUUUUUGAGACGGAGUCUCGCUCUGUUGCUCAGGCUGGAGUGCAGUGGAGUGAUCUCGGCUCACCGCAACCUCCGCCUCCCAGGUUCAAGCGAUUCUCCUACCUCAGCCUCCCGAGUAGCUGGGAAUACAGACGUAAACCACCAUGCCCGGCUAAUUUUUGUAUUUUUAGUAGAGAUGGGGUUUCACUAUGUUGGCCAGGCUGGUCUGGAACUCCUGACCUCGUGAUCCGCCCGCCUCGGCCUCCCAAAGU
Molecule: long non-coding RNA, 2728 nt
Filed under: Homo sapiens (human)
Lineage: Eukaryota; Metazoa; Chordata; Mammalia; Primates; Hominidae
Description: non-protein coding lnc-PSMG4-2:2
Source: RNAcentral